This 204-nucleotide ribosomal RNA is filed under the name uncultured bacterium. RNAcentral's name for it is "partial 16S ribosomal RNA". It matches the Rfam family "Bacterial small subunit ribosomal RNA", at positions 1299 to 1500 of the family's 1533-position model. The record is from RNAcentral.
UGUAGUCUGCAACCCGACUACAUGAAGCUGGAAUCGCUAGUAAUCGCGGAUCAGAAUGCCGCGGUGAAUACGUUCCCGGGUCUUGUACACACCGCCCGUCACACCAUGGGAGUCGGAAAUGCCCGAAGCCGGUGACUCAACCUGCAAAGGAGAGAGCCGUCGAAGGCAGGUCUGAUAACUGGGGUGAAGUCGUAACAAGGUAAC